GUGGCCCUGGAGGCCUGGGGUGGGAAACUGUGUGUGCCACUGUGGUCUGGAGCCUGCACAGGCAUCUCGACAGCAUCUAGGAGCGCAAGGAUGGCAAGGGGGUGUGAAAGGGAGGGAGACCAUGCCCCAAGAUCAAGCCUGUGGGAAAGUUGUCCUGCAAGUGUGAGGAGUGUGAGCUCCAGUGUCCCCAGGUCUUCUCGGGGCCCCUAGCAGGGGUUUCAGUGUUAGGUGGAGGUGUGACUCAGUGACUGAUGUACUUCAUUCGCAUAGGUUGUAAAUGAGGGAACGAUGACUUCCCUGCAGGAGAGGAAAAGUCUUUUGGGGGUUCUGGGGCGGCUACUUCCCUUUGAUGGAGUUUCUUCUUCUCCAGUAGAAGAGCCACGUGCUGGAGCCAUUGUCCAGCCUUGCCCUGGAGGAGCAGUGUCUGGCUUUGUCCCUAGAUUGGUCCACUGGGAAAACUGGAAGGGCCGGGGACCAGCCCUUGAAGAUCAUCAGCAGUGACUCCACAGGGCAGCUCCACCUCCUGAUGGUGAAUGAGACGAGGCCCAGGCUGCAGAAAGUGGCCUCAUGGCAGGCACAUCAAUUCGAGGCCUGGAUUGCUGCUUUCAAUUACUGGCAUCCAGAAAUUGUGUAUUCAGGGGGCGACGAUGGCCUUCUGAGGGGCUGGGACACCAGGGUACCCGGCAAAUUUCUCUUCACCAGCAAAAGACACACCAUGGGUGUGUGCAGCAUCCAGAGCAGCCCUCAUCGGGAGCACAUCCUGGCCACGGGAAGCUAUGAUGAACACAUCCUACUGU
This 797-nucleotide long non-coding RNA is filed under the name Homo sapiens (human). RNAcentral's name for it is "non-protein coding lnc-ZMYND19-1:5". The record is from RNAcentral. Lineage: Eukaryota; Metazoa; Chordata; Mammalia; Primates; Hominidae.